This 104-nucleotide small nuclear RNA is filed under the name Myotis brandtii (Brandt's bat). The record is from RNAcentral. Lineage: Eukaryota; Metazoa; Chordata; Mammalia; Chiroptera; Vespertilionidae.
UUAAAAGGCUAACAGUGUACAUACAGUAAAACUCGAAUGAUACAGAGAUUAGCAUAGCCCUGUGCAAUGCUGACAUGCGAAUUCACGAAGCGUUCAGUAUUUUC